Molecule: long non-coding RNA, 542 nt
Filed under: Macaca mulatta (Rhesus monkey)
Lineage: Eukaryota; Metazoa; Chordata; Mammalia; Primates; Cercopithecidae
Description: lncRNA (ENSMMUG00000046641.2)
Source: RNAcentral
AUGAGUUUUGCCUUAUCUGCUUGUUUUGCCAGGUUGUUUCCAACCGUAUUAUCUACUAUUGUGGCAAUAAACACGAGUCAAGAGUUGAAUAAAAAGAAUUCUUUUUAUCAUCAUCAUCACCAUCAUCCUCAAUCACUGUCAUCACCAUACCACAAGGAAAAUCAAGUCUUCCAAUUUUUUUUUUUCACUAAUAUUAUGUGCGUGUGGAAGGGGAAGGAAGGAAAUUAUCCAACUGUUUCCUGCAGGCAGAGCAAGUCCCUACAGAGCAGGCUGCCCUCAGUGAUGAUGAGUUUUGUAUCUCCCAGAACAUCCCACCUCUUAAAUGUCUAGCAUCUUGUAAGCAAGAGAUGCUUGGAGAAGAAGAAUGGUCAAGAAGAUGGAAAUAAUGACUAAUGCUGUUCUUCUCACCUGUUUGCCAGUCUCACUCAAAUGAGGAUGACUAUUUAGAGUAAUAUUGAAUUACAGAAAGCUUUAUGCGAUUAUAAGCCUGAGAAAGAAGCACCCAAACGUGCAUGUAAAAGGUGGACUAAUAAGAGGCAAAG